CAGAGAUGCUGCCGCUGCUGCUGCCGCUGCCCCUGCUGUGGGCAGGGCCCUCGCUCAGGAUGCAAGAUUCCGGCUGGAGAUGCCAGAGUCCGUGACGGUGCAGGAGGGUCUGUGCAUCUUUGUGCACUGUUCGGUCUUCUACCUCGAGUAUGGCUGGAAAGAUUCUACCCCUGCUUAUGGCCACUGGUUCCGGGAAGGGGUCAGUGUAGACCAGGAGACUCCAGUGGCCACAAACAACUCAACUCAAAAAGUGCAGAAGGAGACCCAGGGCCGAUUCCACCUCCUCGGUGAUCCCUCAAGGAACAACUGCUCCCUGAGCAUCAGAGACGCCAGGAGGAGGGACAACGGUUCAUACUUCUUUUGGGUGGCGAGAGGAAGAACAAAAUUUAGUUACAAAUAUUCCCCGCUCUCUGUGUAUGUGACAGCCCUGACCCACAGGCCCGACAUCCUCAUCCCGGAGUUCCUAAAGUCUGGCCAUCCCAGCAACCUGACCUGCUCUGUGCCCUGGGUCUGUGAGCAGGGAACACCCCCCAUCUUCUCCUGGAUGUCAGCUGCCCCCACCUCCCUGGGCCCCAGGACCCUCCACUCCUCAGUGCUCACGAUCAUCCCACGGCCUCAGGACCACGGCACCAACCUCAUCUGUCAGGUGACGUUCCCCGGAGCUGGUGUGACCACGGAGAGAACCAUCCAGCUCAGUGUCUCCUGGAAAUCAGGAACCGUGGAAGAGGUGGUUGUUUUGGCCGUGGGGGUAGUGGCUGUGAAGAUCCUGCUUCUCUGCCUUUGCCUCAUCAUCCUCAGGUAAGCACUGCCUGAAGACCAAGGACAGGCAUGGGGAGGGCAGAGGACAUGAUGCUGAAUCCCAGAAUCUCAAUCCUGGGGGUAUGCAGACAGUUUACGUGGUCCUGGGGCCAGGCUGGAGGCUGAAUUGGUGGUGAGAAUUACACAUGGGCCAUUUGUGGUCAGUUUGUGUCUGUCCCAACUGAGGGCCAAAUGCCAGGAUGGGGAGCUUCCUGUUGUCAUCAAGGAAGUCUAGACCUGCUCUUCCUCCCUGUGAUCCCUCCAGCCUCUAGCAGGGCACAGGAAGUUGAGUUGGCUGCCCUUUGCUCCCUUCAUGUGGCCACACUUACAGGUCCUUGUCUCUUCACUCAAUGUCAGUUUCCACAAGAAGAAGGCGGUGAGGGCAGUGGAGGUUGAGGAGAAUGUAUAUGCUGUCAUGGGUUAAUCUCUCAGGUGAGUGAUGUGGGCCUCUCACUCUUCAACAUCCUGCUGGAUAACUCCUCCACAAUGGCCUCCAGGAUUGCUCUGCCCAUCAUGGCCAAAGUUAAGCCAACUGUCUUCCUCCUCAAACCUACUUUUCCUGGGAUGUGGGUUCUUCAUCCUGCAGAUGACAAAGAGGCCUCAUCUCUAAAGUCAGAACCUGGGUGUGGGUCUCCAUCUUGACCCCCCUCCCUUCUCUAGAUCCCAUAAAUUACUAGCUCUUGUCCCUCCUUCUCCUAAGCAGGGCUCAUCUUGAUGCCCUUUUCUCCAUCCUGACCCUGGUCAUUCUUGCGGCCUCACCUCUUCCCUGAUCACUGAACCCUUUUCACCUCCUGCCUCCAUCUCUCCCCAACACAGGCCUCCAGACUGUACUUCCAGAUGUCUCCUCAUCCAGUUCCUCCACAGUCUGAAUGGCCAUGUUUCCUCUUCAUUGCUGGAGAAUGAAGUGCAAAUGCCACUGCCUGGACUGAAGGCCUUUCACGAUCUGUCUUCUGCUGGACUCUGCUCCUGAUCCCCCUUCUCCUUGCAUCACCCGAAGUCUCCCUACACCCACCAGGCCAAGCCCUCUGUGAUUCUGAGACUUUGCAUGUGUAGUUACUUCUCCUGAAAUGGC
This is a long non-coding RNA of Homo sapiens (human), 1870 nucleotides long. Ensembl annotates it as sialic acid binding Ig like lectin 17, pseudogene. Its record names the gene SIGLEC17P. NCBI's taxonomy places the organism in Eukaryota, Metazoa, Chordata, Mammalia, Primates, Hominidae. The record is from Ensembl.